CUCUCUCUCUCUCGACUGUUCUACUUCUUAGCAGCGUGGACCUUAGAAAUGCUCCGAAAACCUGUAAGUGCUUUUUUCUCUCUCUGCUUUUACAUUUGUACUUGGGCGCAAUAGCUUUAGCUCAACCUCAAAACAAAUUUCAAUGAUUGCUAUUACUUCAUAAUCUGAUUUGUCAAGGCAUGUGAUGUGGUGAAAAUUGUACUUCUUAAGGGUAGAGAUUUGGGCAAUUGUCUUUGAAGUCUUCAUUUUUUUUCUUUGAACUGUGUCUUUGAAUGAAUCUUCAAAUUCUGAAAGUGCUCGAAUUUUUUAUUAUAAAUGUUAUAUUAAUUGUCUGAAAAUUUGUAUGCAAUACAAGAUGGGUUUUGUCAUGGUUCUUGAUGGUUUGCAUUUCCAAUGAUGUUAUAAUUGAAACAACUCAGUUUCAAUCAUCAGUGGAAGUGAAUUAGUUUACUUUUAAUCAUUGCUAUUGACCAAAUAAAAAUAGUAGAAACCAUUCGUAACAAUAUCGUGUACUAUUUCGUUCAUGGUAGGAUCUCGUUAGGGGAUUUCAUUACCUCAUUGACCAUGCUAGAGGAACUUUUAUAUCCACAACUUCAGCCAACCAAACUAAGCUUAUUGUUGGAAACUAACAAAUAAGUAAAAGCCGAAAUCUUUUUAUUGCCCUGCCUGCACUUUAUGAAAGCCACCGUGGUUUUUUUUAUUCAUUAGGUCAUUUAAUUCUUGGAAAGUAAAUCCUAUUAUUUGAAGGAUUUUUUUUACUUUAAGAAAUACCUUGUGCAAACUGCAAACAGUCUGUACUGUUGAAAGCUCACCUCUAUUUACAGAGUUGAAAGAGAUGAUGUUUGUGCAGCUAGAAAUACAUUGUGUGAAGUAAAAUACAAAUCGAAGAUGAGAUGAAAACUCUAUGAAUUAAGAGUGCAUUUUGAGUCUCAAAGACAGACAUACAUUGUGUGAAGUAAAAUACCACGAAUAGUCUUUGGUCUUCUAGAGACCUCAUCAAUAUUCAAUAAUCCCAUUGAAGAGUUUGUGAGGUUGCCUCACCAAAGUAAUGUAUUAGUCGGCUCUUUUAAUAGAAGCUCUUCUAGAUUUUAAAAUAUGCCAUAUCACAUUUUGUUAUACUAAUCGAUGUUUUAGAAAGCCAAUAUCUUCCCAGUCUAUGCAUGACCUCGUUCUGCUACAUUCAUGAGAUUCUACAGUUUAGGGAGUUUGCUGUGAUCCUGGUCUUGUUUAUCCAGUUAACUUGUAUCCAUGGGACUUGACUAACAAAGGUUUCCGAACUCUGAUUAUUAAGUUGCAGAGAAAACAGUUUUUUUAGUAAAGAGGAUGAACAAAAGAAAAAGGACCUUUGUCCACCUGCUUCGCUUAGCUCUCUCAAGUAAAUUAUCAUUGCUCGUGGGAGAGGCCAUUGCCAUAGGUUCCUCCACAAGAAGAGUUGAAGAUGGUGCAACAUCAGAUCCCAUUACCUUACUUCGAAUGGAAUUUUAGCCCAUGAAUUUUAAUUUUCUAGAGUUUGUGGCCUUUUUUCCUUACUAGAUUCCGCAUAUAUUUUCUUCUUUAUGCCCCCCUCUGAAGUUGAAUAUGUGUGUGAGUGGUGCAGGCAAUACUCUUCUGUCAAUUGUGGUCACUUCAUAUAGUUGAAUCAUUUAUUGUGAUAUCCUUUGGCCCAGUCUGGUUUCUAGGAUUCAUCUUGGCUAUCUAACAUCCUGAAAUCAUUUUAUAAUAUCUUCCACGGUUUACCAAGGAUUUACCUGCAUCUUUUUCCAUGUACUUAUUUUAGCUGUGAAAGUAUUUGUUCAUUUAUUUAUUUUUCCGUCAGUUAAAAAUCUUUUAGUUAAUAUAACUCUGACUUUGCAAGGGGUCAAAAAGGAGACAGUCAAGACAUUAUUGGAUAGGAGAAAAUUUGAAAAUCCUUUUAUUAGCGAAUUUGAUUUAUAAAAUGUAUUCCAUUUCACAAUUCUAGGGUAGAACUAAUUGUAAUGAAAUUUGACAAGAAAAUAGACAGCUAUAAGGCAAGUCAGGGAUGACGGAGAAUUAGUUUUUUUGUUUAAGGUUAUUAUUGAUUGUUAUAAAAUGCUCAAUAUUCAGUAGCACUUCAAAAUAGUCAUCCUGCUCUCCUUCCUUCCCUUGUUUUUUUUUUUAAAAAAAUUAGAAAGGAGUGCAUGAUGACUAUUUUGGAGUGCCAAUAACAGCUCCCAUAUUAAGUAUAAAUUUUCAUCUCAUGGAUAAAAAGACGUGAUGAUCAUUGAUCUGGUAGGUAGUUUGGGAUCACGAACAAUGAUACUAACUGAAAAAGUAAACUUAGCUAUGAAUUCCACCCAACAGAUAAAGAUAUGGUGAUAAGUUAGGGAUCAUUGACCAGUCUGGCUAUAGAAUUAUAAACUUUUAUUACUGGAGUAUUUUCUGGUGGUUUGGUGCUUGAAGCUUCAUGUUCCUUUCAAUUAUUGAAGUAUAUAAUGAAAUAUCAUUUCCUUCCACAAAAUUCAUGCCGAUUUUCUGGUGAAAGUUUGAAUAUCGUUUGUCACUCCAGAAAAUUAAUAGGGUUGUACUGUACAUAUUCAUACCCAUUUUAAGAGGGAGCCUGAGGUUGGUUUAGAAUGGACGUAAUGCCAUUAUGGCUAGGUGAAUAGAGAUCAAUUGACUAAUGACAAAGAAAGUUCCAUUCUCAGUGCUCCAUAAGCUGUAUGAUCCCAUUUGUGUAUUGAUGUUGUUUGUUGAAUAUCAUUUUGUCUUUCCAGAAAACAAGUUAACUAUUUUGAAAAAGAUUUUAUUUCUUAUAAUACCUGAUACUGAUGACACUCUCUUUGCAUAGAUUUAUCUAAAUCUAGAUUGUUUAUGACACCUUAAAAUUGGAUCACAUAACUAAAAUAUGUGGCUUUUGCCUUCAUUAGGUGUUUGAUCAACAGGGAAAUUGAUUGAAUUGUCUGCAACAUAUGAUGAUAAGUAUUAAAAUCAUCAUCAUCAUAAUCACCUUGGUGAAUUAAGUGUGUAGGCAGUCUUGAUGAUUUUAUAUUAUGACUAAUUAAGAUGUCAUCACUGAAAUGAUUUCCAUGAAUAUUGCUGACAUGGAAGUACCUUGUACAGCUAUACAAUUGAUAUGCGUUGUACCAAGUGAUUUGUUAAUGGGUACCUUAAGUUAUAUCCUUUUCUCAUUUCCUUGGAUGAAAAUGAUGAUGGCAAUGAGAUGGUUCCCAUUGAAAAUGUUGGUGUGAAUGAACUACUGUUGAUGCUACAGUAGCUAUAUUUACUUGAUGAGGGUUCCAUCUUGUGAUAAUGCUAUCGACCUUAGUCAAGAAUGAUGUUGAUGGUGCCAUGUGAGCAUCUAGUACAAUUCUGGUGUUACUUGUGACAUUAUUUUUCAGUGUCAAUUAGACGAUUCCGUUGUCUAUGACAUGGGAACGUGAUGUGAUGAUCUUAUGUCCUUUUCCCCGUUGGUGGAUGGUAAAGUUUGGUGAUAGACAUCAGACCCAAAAAAAAAAAGAGGCUUGGUGACAGACAAGAACAUCCCGAUAAAUCGUGUCAAAUGUACAAAGAAUUACACAUUUCAAUUAUGAUGGGGUUGAUUUUCAUGAUUAUUACAUGGUUUUUUUUUGUUCUCUUUUUGAUAUACUUGCAUAAUGUGUUGUAGACAUAUUGCUUAAUGCUAGCUAGUACGAUAAUAAUAACACAAACAUAACCUAGUUCCAGCUGCCCUACAUUACAUGAGUAACAAUCCUUUUAGCUUUGUCACUGCAACAGAAAAUGACUGAUGCUAUAGUUGGAAUUUUCAUCGAACAUACUGCAUUUUUAAUGGAACUCAAGGAAGCCUUACGUGCUUGGGUUGGUCUGAAUGAAUCUAUUAUAGUUUCUUAUCAAUCAAGCAUCUUAUUCACACAGCCACCACACACUUCUUUUAGAACUUCGAUAUUGAAUAAGAUCAACAAUUUGUACCAGUCCAUUUGAUAGUCUUUGUUGAAUGUGUACUCUGUCAUAAAACUUAAGCUCCAUUUGGUGCUAUUUGAGUGCUUACAAAUUUCCUUUAUGCUGCAACGAACAGCUAGAUGAUAUUUCUGGGGAAAUUGGAAGCAUGCAGAAGUUGUCCCUGAAGGUGAAGGACAUACUGGUCGGAAUCUUUUAGACUCGCGUAAUUUCGGGUCAUUCCUACUGGGUGGUGCCCUAUUGGAGGACAGUUUUGUUUGUCCUUAAUGAAAUGUCACAUUUGGGGCCAUUGGCCCACCGGCAAAACCAAAUUGGCUUUACAAUUUGCUAGCAAUCGAGGGAAGUAGGCUGUACCUUGCUAGGCCUUCCCAAGCUCCCAAAACCACAACCAGUCACUCAAGCCUUCUGCCCUUCGAUUUGCUUUGCUGCCUGCCUUCUAAUGCCCUCCAAUCAAUGGCACCUUUGAUUUAACUCAGCCAACCAGAUUUAUGACACGUGGCUCUUUUGUGGCCACUGCUAGUGACCUCCCAUGUGAUGAUGUGAAGCAAUAUGCAGGCCCAAUCAUCAGAGGAACAAAGCCAGGUCGCAUCAGAUGGAUUGAACAAAUUUCCUUAUCAACGGUGUUUGAUAGAGAAAUUUGAUGUGUAGAAACUCAUUGGUUUAAUAUGUUUUGUGUUAAUUCAAAUUUUCCUCUUUCAUGUCAAAAAUACAAAAAUCCUAAUUGAAAAUUGGACAAUACAAUGAUAAAGUUAGAAAAAAUGGACAAGAGUAGCAAAGUUUUGAAGUAGCAAUCUUUAUAUUGAAGUGUUAGGUAAGUUGGAAAUGGUUCUCCUUUUAUUGUUCUAUCAUUUGAAACACUUUUAAGUUUGCAAAUUUUAGACAUCAAUAGAUGAUUAUGUUGUCUGUGGAAGAGGGAGGAUUUGAACCUAGGACCUCUUCUGACAUUAGGAGAAAAAGUACCACUAGAUUAACAUGUUAGAUGGAUGAUAAUAUAGUAUGAACGAUGUACAUAAUAUAUUUUCUUAUAAAUGCCUAAGUUUUAUUAGCUUUGGACGAAGUUACAAUAAUAGUAAUAACAUAUCCCUCAUCUUAUGUUAGGGUAAUAUAAAAAAAGUUUACCCCAUUCCAAUAUAGAUAAUCAAAGUCGUCCUUAAAAAUUACAAGGAGUAGAUAUAUGAUAGGUUACUUCUAGAGAGAGAAAGGCCCCAUUUUAAAACAAGAGGGCUUUAAAUUGGGUUUUAGGGAGGUAAAAUGAGUAAGUUGGUGAAGGCAUCUUCAAUUAGAAGCCCACAAGUCUUAUUUGAGAUUGUUAUUCUUCCCAAAAUCUGACUGGUAAUCCAUGCCGAGGAACUGGAAAUGGGCCAUACUGAAUCCCACUUUGUGAUCCCUCUACUUCCCACCUGCAACACAAAUCAUAAAAUAUCAACAACAGACCUCUAAUAAUAUGAUCUGAGCAAUGUUUCUGCAUAAUGUUUUUGAUAAUGAUCUAAGUAAGAAUCAAAACUUGUUCAGCAGUAAAUUCCACGUCUAAUCUGAUGCAAAAAGCCUUAAUGAAAAAAGAGAUGUUUGCAUUUUGUACCCGAAUUUGGUCACAAGAUGGUGGACCAAAAUGAGCAUCUCCAGCUUGGCAAGCUCAUUUCCAGGACAAGCAUGCACUCCUUUCCCAAAUGGCAUGAAAGUAUUAGGCUUUGGACCAACCUAUUCACCCACAACCAGAAAAAUAAAUAUAAGGAAAAAAAAUGAAAAUUUGGUAUUUCCAUUGAAUUUGUUAGUGUGAGAGAGAGAGAGAUGCUGAUACUGGCAAAAACCAGCUGAUAUCAGACUCUCUCUGGUUUAAACAAAAAACCACCUUUGUCUGCAACAUAAUACAUACCUCAAACCUAGAUGGGUCAAAAUUCUGAGGAUCAGAGAAGAAUUCUGGAUUGUGAUGUAUGUUCCUGAACAAUGGCAUCACCUUCCAACCCUUUGGUAUAAGAUAUCCUGCAAAAUUGAUUUUUAUAAAUAUUAAAGAAAUUUAUGGACAUAAAUCCUCUUUACUGCUAUCCUGCUAAUUAAAAGGUACAAAAAUGACCAAGGACCCACUAGUGUAGUAGUUUGGAGCAAUUGCUCCUCCAAGAAAGGUUUUGGGUUCGAGUCUUAGCAUCCAUGUUGUGUGUGUGAGUUUAGUAGUUAUCGCCUCUCUCAAUAGGAAAGGUCCUCAAAAGAAAAAGAAAAAAGGCACAGAAAUGAACUUUAAAUCCUCACCUUUGUAUUCUACAUCAACCACAGCUUCCCUGAAUGUGAAAGAUAUGAUACUUGCCAUUCUCAAGCUCUCUAAUAGAACCUGAAAUUCCAUUUAUAUUCAGCUCACAGUUAGUCUAAAUUUCUUGGUGCUGUUUUGCAUUUUGAAUACAAGAGUAGUUAGAGUUGGGCUUACUCUGUAUGUAAGAGGCAUGUUCCUAAUCUGUGCCCAUGUCAAGGGCUUCUUGCAUCCAUCAUUUGCUUCAAAUAUAGCCUUCUGCUCAGCCUGCAAUAAAUAACAGCUUGACAUAAACCAACCUUUCACAUGUACAAUUUGUUUGAAAUUUUGUAAACUUUGCAAGGAACUCUUACCUUCACAGCUUCAAGAAUUUUUGGGUUGUCAUGGAGGUAUUUGAGGAUCCAUGUUAAAGCACUGGCUGUAGUGUCCUGGGCUGCAAACAGAAUUCCAAUGAUGUUAUCUGAAAUUUGAUCCUCAGUUAAAGUUUGCCCCUUUUCAUCUUGGAAGUUCAGCAGAUCACCCAAUAGAUCCUUCUGUAGUGUUUUCUUCUCUUUCCUCUCACAAAUUAUCUGACUCAAAAUCUGACCAAGCCUUUUCCUUGCCUUUGAUAAUUACCCAGAAAGAAGAAACAAAAGUUAGUGUCAGAUUUAAAGUUUAUAAUCCUUCUGUAUGAUUACAUAUAUUAUUUUUAAAGAAAGAAUUACUAUUUCGAUAAAAAAAAAAAAGAGAGAGAAAGAAUUACUAUUGCUUACCAAAAGAGCUUUGUGAUAUGCAGUACCAGGUAUCUUUGUUGGAAAAGAAUUGUAACCCUUGUCUACUAUGCAGUAAUUUUCCUUGAGCCUUUCUCUGUAAGUGUCAUCCAACUGACCAAAGAUGGCAAGGAAGCCAACAUCAAAGGAGAACUGUAGGGGGACACAAUGAGAUCCAUCCAUAUAUUAGAAUAAAAUAUUACUUGAUCCAAACAAAACAGAAGGACCCAUUUCAAAGGAAGUUUUGAGAACAUCAGCAAUAAGACAAACCAAGUUGAACCACCAAUGAUGAAACCAAUAAGUUGAGCCAAAAAGGCAUAAGCAAAAACAUGAGGCUCACAUUAAAAACAUGUUGGGGGUGAAACACUAACCCUUUUCAUUUCAUUAUAGGUGUUAAUGACCUUGCCACCUGCAGCCCAUGACUCCAAGGCAGAAAUGGCUAAUGCUUCAAUGUCAGGAACUAGUUUCUGCAUAGUGGUGGGGUUUGGGGACAGAGAGCUUUGAAUGAGCUUCCUGAGGCUAUUGUGGUAGUCUCCUUGGUGAAAGAACAAAGCUGAAGGACCAAUCAUCUGCUCUUUGCUCUUGGGGUAUGUGGGCUUGAACAAGUAGGCAUGAGUGACCAGCACAAACUUUGUGGCCGCAGGGCUUGCCAGCAUGACACAAGGGCACCCAAGUAUGUGGGUUUUGAAUAUCUCUCCAUACCUGAUGAACACAAAAAAGAAGGGCAAAAUGGAACAAGUUUGGAUCAAAUCCAUGGAGAGGAAACAUUAAUGGAAGAUUAAUAGGAUUCAGAGGUUGAUAAUAGAUUAGAACCUUUUCUGCUUUGAAGCAAAGAAUAUGUUCGGGUCCAUAGAGUACAUUUGUAGAGUCUCUCCUAUGUAAGGCCACCCCAUUGAGCCAGGGGGAAGCUUAGCUUUAUGUUUAGAAUUUCUCUUUUGUUUCUUUAUGAAGUGGUAUAACAACAGACUUGAGAGACAGAGCAAUAUGUGUAUCAAACUAGAAACAAUCUCCAUAAAAAUGUAGCACCUGCUUCUCUCUCUCUCUCUCUCUCUCUCUCUCUCUCUCUCUGAAUUCUAGUAUGUUUCUCUGAUGACUUAGAGGAGUGUAUAUGGUGGAGAUGGAUGGUUGCCAAGGGAAUGCACUCUCAAGUCAAUAUGAGUAUUGAUGAGGGGGUUUGGGGUAUAUAUAGAGUGAAAAAGGAGGUGCCUUGCAACUUGCAAGAGCCAAAAUCUGAUAUGGAUUUAAAGAAAAUAAAUAAAUAAAUCAUUUUCCAAAUCUUUGAAGGGUCUGGACUAAAUUAACACUCUGAAAUGGGGAGUACUAGAAAUUACUCCUUCACAUGAGAACUUUGACUUGUGAGUUUUUGAUACAGAAGCUUCUAUUUAGCAUAAAGUGGAUUAGAUUCCUGAAAGUAUUAGGUAACAUGGAUUUCUUCUUCUUCUUCUUUUUCCUAUCAAAUUUGAUAACUGUAAUAGUUUAUAAAUUGGAUUGUUAUAUCUGCCCCCUUUAAACUCCUGAAAGAAAUAAUUUAUUUCAAUUUUUUGUUCAAGUGAAAGAAAUGGUAUUAAAAUUGGAUUUGUUAUAAAUAAGUUGCAAAUUGGACUGCAUGCUAAAGUCUAAUAAUCUUUGUAAUUGGGUGAUUUAUAUCAUGCAUGGAUUGCCACCUUGAUGUUACUUAUAGAUCAAAGUUUCAAGUGAUGAUGACGAUUUGAACGCAUAACUUUGAGCACAAAGAUAAAUACUUUAAAUCGAAUGAAAGCAUCGAUGAAUGCUCUAAAUCACUCGAGGUACAAAGGUGACUUUUGCAUAGAAAAGUGAAACUUAAUUAUGUGUCAUAUAGGUCGUACUGUUCCCAAAUGUGUAAAAUAUGAGACCUCAUCUAUGCAAACCCUGGGUGGGGAUAUUCAUUGGUCACCUACUUUACUGACAGGUGGUGAUUUCCUUACCUCCAAGUUUGUAUCCCAGUCUUUAGCCGUUCAUUUGUCUCAAUCAUUACUUUCAUUAUACAUCUUCGAUUUCUAUCAAAAGGAAAAUUAUACGUGAAUAACAGAAAUUCAAAUUUGGAACAUCCAAAUAUAUAAGAGGCUUUAUUAUACUUGUACUCAAACCUCACAUUGCUCAUCAGAAGUCCCAAUGACUCACUUUGCCUUCUUGAACAACAUUUUGCAUUUUAGUUUGUCAUCAUUGUUAAGUCCGUCAAUAUUGAUGAUGUGCCACAUGUGUAAGUCCUCUAACUUUCUACCACGUAAGGGCCGUAUCAGUAUGUUUGAUGAAGUUUUUGAGGGAAUUGAUGUGGGUAAGUGAGACAACAAACGUUGGUCAAAAACAAAAUGAAUCAUUAUGACUUCCGGAGAAACCAUGUAGGGUUUAAUUAUACUUUAAGUUUAAAGGAGCACUACAACAAUUAAGUUUAGAUAACAAAAAAAGUUUCGUCAAGACUGUUAGCUGUUUUGAUUUCACUUGUCUCGCACCACACCACAAACAGCUUUUAAUUUCCUUUAAUCUCAUUUCCAGAAAGGACUCCAAACCCUACUUUCAAUUUUAUAACCAAAAACCUUUACUCCAAUAGAUACAAAACCGCACGCCUCAGAAGAAGGUAACAUAUAACUUUGCGAUUCAAGAUUACAGAAAUCUUGUAUACCAAUUCAUUUUUUUUGUUUCUGGUACCAUUUUUUCAAGUUUUGUAAGCCAAAGAAAACUAUAAGGUAACAUAUAACAUUGCCAAGGAGUAAAUUGUAAUCGAAAAGACACUCUAGCUUUAUCUAAUUUGUGAAAAAUGACAGGGAAAUCACAUUGUGUGUCACUUCAAAACUAUUUACAUUGGUGAGUCCUACAUAUAGUAGAGAUGCGCUUAAUAUGGUACAGUAAUGUGAUCUCCCUAGCAAUAUUCCUCGGGCAAAAGUUAUUUAGUGUAAUUCCACUUAAGUUGGGAAAACGUCCACAAACAAUAAAUCAAAAUAAACCUAUACAGUUCUCCCUCACAAUCGUCAUAUGUAAGUAGCAGAUGUUAAAAACAAUAGAUCCCUCUUCUCUAUCUCCAUCUCUUCCAAAAAUUAAUCAAAUCCUCAUAAAUAAAUAAAAACUCAAAACUUCCAUGUGGGUACUUAGUACUUGCGAAUAUCACAAAAAGUAACAAAACAAAAACCCAUUUCGCAGAUUAAAUAAUCUUAUGCAAAAUGAAGUAGAGCCUUUCUUUUUUUGCUUGUUUUUGGGUUGAAGAGGGUACGUUGGCUUACGGGUUCUACGUAUGACGAUGCAUUACAGCUCAUACACUCCCCAAAUUAGGAUUUCCCUGGGAUCCGCAAGCCUGUCAGUGGUCCCCACCUGUGGGUCGGUGAUGUGUACGGUUAAUGCCGACGUGGAAUCUUCGCGAGUGCGCGACGUCAACAAUCAAAGGAACAGCAACGUCCGUUUGCAUCCGUCACCGUCAAACGUUAGUAGACACGACACGUGUAGAAAUCUUGGUUGUCCUGAUCGAGAGAGUUCGGGACGAGAUGAGAAAUCACUGGUUCCACGUGGAUGUAGGAGCACUGGGGAACCUACAACUUAGGCAAGCCAACAGUACUGUUUGCCCAUAAGUCGUACGUACACAUUGCUCAAAAUUACAAUAUGAAUACAAAUGCGUGGCGUAUGCAUACACUUUUUUUUUUUGGUUCCAAAUAAUAUUAAUUAAAAAUCAUAUUAGGUAAUAACCACAUUAUACGGUAAGUGAUAUUUGCUUAUUUCGACCGGAGUCGAUCUUGAGAUUUUGAGGGUCAUGUUAAAUGGAACCUCAUAUAAUUUAAUAUGAAAAUACUAUAAAAUAAAAUAAAAGAAUAUUUGUCAUGACUUAAUACCCUAAAAUGACUUUUUUAACAACUAAAAUUCAUCAUCAAUUAGUAUGCAAUGACAAUCAUAAAUUAAAUUCAUAUAAGUUUUAAUGUUUCAAUUUGAGAAAUAGGAAGAGGAAGACGAAGACAUCAACUUUUUUUGUUUCAUUUGAGUGGGUGAAAACAUAUACAAUUUUUUAAAAAAAAUUGGAGAAAGCGUAUAUAUUGUUUUCUAUUGAUAACAAUUAAAAAAUAUAAAAAUACAAGUAUUGAAUGACACAAUCCAAACUCAAACUUGAACUACUUACUAAAAUUGAGGCAUUGAAAACCAACUCAACUAAACAAGCACUUUUGAAAACCAACUCAACUAAACAAGCACUUUUGCUAUUACCUUGCAAGCUUAAGUAUAUAUAAUACGCACGUAUAAAAAAAAAGUUGGGGCCGUAUAUGGUAGCAUCAUUUGUACACCCUCAGGACUGCCCCUGAUUUCGACUAUUAUAGCCGAUUGAUUAUAUGUACGUUAUCUGCCACAUAAUUUGAUCAAUUAAUAUGAUUCGUCUAAAAUUAUUUUUAAUUUUUUGGUCAAGCGUCUACAAUAUUUAAGUUUGCAGAAGAAAUUGUAGAGUAGGGGUUGAAGUUGGGGUUGCAAAUUUAGUUUUCAUUUUGUACAUUUUAAUUCUCCACCCAUAUACCAAUUGUGUUGGAGGUUGACAUUCUAAUACUCUCUUCAUCACAUAUAUUAUAUUCCUUUUCCCUUUAUCCAUCUUAAACUAAGAUAAAAACGUUACCAAACAGCCUACAAAACAUUUGUGUGAUUAAUAUUAACCACUCCCUAAAGCACCACAUCCCGACUUAAUCUCAUGUUAAAUUUCAUAAUUAAUUCCAAUUGCCUGUGUUACAGAGGUAGGACAAAGGACAAUGAUACAUCUUGUUAGGGCAAAAUCAUCUUCAUAAUAUACAUUGGCAAACCCUUUAGCCUUUUAGCAUAUAUGGAAAUUUUGGUGCAGCAAGCAAAGCACCACAUGCUUGGUAGCAUUUAGGCAAAAUGUCAAAACAUGCAUGCAUGCGUUGCGUGGUGGUGAAGCCAUCGUUUUCGUAUGGGAAGAAUCGAUCGAUCCAAAACUUCCAAGUUGGUACUAAUUUAUUGUAGUUUUCUCUAAUAUAAUAUGUACUAUGGAUAAUGGGUCGUAUUGGAGGGUCGAUACUCAAUUUGCUAAGUAGGAGAUAUAUUAUUCAUCUUCUUUUCUCACUUUGCUUUGCUCCUUUAAGGCAUUCUUUGUCUCCAUGCAACAAGAACAAGCACGCAAACGUACAAAUUUAAUGUGUACAUAAUACAAUCCUCUAAGAUAUGAACUUUUGCUAGCUAGGUUAGAUGCAUGUCAUAUUCGAAAUCAAGUGACAUAACCCACACAACCAUUCUGAAACCUGGGAGUGUGUGUGUAGGCCACGUACCAAUCAACAAUAAGUUGGCUCGGGUUGGACUGGGUUUGGAAUUGAUUCCAAGCUACUUAUAAUCCUCAUCUCUCUAUAUGAGACUUGUAAGACACGAUAUGUUGAAUUGCUCUCUAAUAUAAUAAUAAGUUCAAUCUUAACAUGCAUAAGUUCAUCAAACAAUCAUCAUGAUAUUAUUGUCUAAUUUAAUUGAAAUAAUCAGUACAUUCUGAACUACCAAACAUGUCAAAUGGAAUAGCAUUAGAGCUCCAAUAGCCUCCAAACCAACUGCGAGUCAGUAAGCCGACUUGAUAUUUUAAGGUUGGUUAUAUUUUAUUCAUGCGAUUAAUUCAAACUCAUGAGUCUUCUAACUAAAUAAUGUCAGAUUUGUUUUUGAGCUUGCCCUUUUUAUACUCUGUAUAUCUAAUAUAUAGAGCAAAAAGUAAAAAAUGGUAAAACAUUCAAAAUAUCAUAAAAUGUCCUUGGUUAAUGCAAACAUUAAUUAAGAAUUGAAAUUAUUAAUUAAAUGAGGAUAAUAUGAUAAAUUCACACUUUUUCAUACUAAAAAAAUUAAAAUUAAAAGAAAAAUCAAAUAAUGAAUCCUAUUUUUAUGGAACACAACUAUUUAAAAAAGCCUCUCACAGACGCGGAAGCGUGUGCGUAGAGAGUAAUCAUUAGAAUAAGAAUGGAAUCAAGUAUAGGGUCGAUUGGGUGUUUGAUUGAAAAUGGAAAUGAUCAAGUUUGGUAGAAAUUGAGGUCCAUGGUUGUAAGAAUGCAACGAACAUAUUUCUAACUUGUAAGAAUGAUCUUUCCCCAAAAUUAAUGCUCGUCCAUUCCAAUAAAGUAGACCUCUUAAGAAUAGCAUAUUUUCCCAAAUCUUAAACUAAUUAUAAGGUUCCAGGGAUAACCUCUCUAUUCCCGAAUUUCUGAAGAAUAACUUAUAUUUGCAGACGUGAAUUAGGCUAAUUACUCAAGAUAAUGAACUUGUCCCUUUACAACCAAGUUUGAAUCUCAUUCUCCGUAAAUUAGAUUAAUUUUCUGCUCUGACAUUAUUUUAAACCCAAAGUUUGGCAUUCCCAAUACAACUAUUCGUCAAUACACAGGAUCUCAAAUAGGUUUUUUUACUUCAACUCUCCACUCUCAAACAAUAUUAAAUCCACGAUAUUAAGUCUUUUGAUUGUGAAAUGCGAACAUAAAUAUCUCCUAUAGGAGUCCUUUGAUUGUGAGACUGGCAUGCCAUUCCAUUAAAAGUAAAGCAUACGAACCUCAAGCUCCAUUUCCCUUUAAAGCUAGGUAAGAAAAUGACCUAAUGAUUUUUCAAAGCUAGCUAGGAAGAUAGAAAAAGUAGCUGUAGAAGAAGAUAUGUGGAAAUCCAAAUGAGUCUAGGUAGACUAGACUGGCUGGUGAUUCGAAGAAAGGCAUGCUCCCUUUUGCUUUUGCUCUCUCCUCCAUGUCAAUGUCUACAUGAAUCACACUUGGACACAAAGGGGAUGGGCAGGCGAACCUCCAAAUAGGGUAGGAAUGAAUCUGUCAUUAGAUUUGGGAAAGAUAAAGGCCACUGCGGUACGGCACUCAGCCCAUCCCUCUCUCCACCUUUGGAUUUUCAUGUGUAAUUCUUUAGGAUGGAAUUUUGAUCCACUUUCCACGUACGACUCUGACCUCCCACUUGUGACACGUUUCACUUCCAACAAGUAAUUUACCAAAUGCCCAUGAAUUGAUUGAUUUGGGAUCUUUUGUGUUUAGGUUUAUGUAUUGUUAAUUAUUGCCUAGUUUCAAUCUUAAACGUUUAUUUAAGUGAGUUAGGAAGUUGUUUAGGGCAGUGAAUCCGUCCUUAUGUAUUUGUAUUUGUAAUUGUACUUAUAUGUAUUCAAAAUACGGAGUUUCAGUCUUAAACUUUUAUUUAAACAAGCAUAAUAUUAAACCCUAAUUCUAAUACGAAACAUCUAUAUUGUUAUUGUGUUUAUCCAAAACUACGUAUACAUGUCUAAUUUUAAAAUUUUAUUUAGAUAUACACAAUACUAAACCCUAAACUGUAAUUUUACAUCCGAAAAUAUUCGCUAUGAACACAUACAAGUAGCAAAAGAACACACAUGCAUAAGUAGAAAAUCUUUCCAAUAUCCAUUUUCAAAGUAUUUGACUAAACAUAUACUAUACCAUUCAAAGAGAAUAGCUUAGCGGGGGCAUCUCAUGGUCAACAAUAUAUUAUGGAUAGAGAAUAUGUCUUCAUCUAAUCUUUGUUGAUAUGUCAUGAUUGAGUCAUAUAGCUCAUGGGUAUUUGAUAUUUCACAGAGAGUCUCUCCUCGUUCGACCGAGGUUACUUUCUUGUCAUUUUCACAGCACUACGAGGCAGCUAAAUACAAACGCAUCCAUAUCUAUCCACAUGCAGCUUUUGUUUUGGCUCACAAUGAAACGGUACAAAGUGGAUGCAUUUUUGUUAACAUCACUUUAUCUUUCUCUAAGAGAUCGUCAUCUGCAUAAUCUACAGAAACAAUUAAAGUGCCCCGGAUUGAGACGGAUGGGACGACUGUUUCUCUUAUUUAAGACAAUGUGGUGAACCAGGAUUUGCUUGCUAGCUUUUUCCCUUCUUCUUCUUUUGUUUUUUUUAUAUCCCUCUGGAAAAGAUAAAGAUUCAUUCACAGGCAUAUCUUUUGUACAACAAUCAUAAGCCACGUGUAAACCCAACAAACACGUGCUUCACAUCAAUCAAUAUGUGAUGUUCAUGUGUUAGGCUUAAAAUAUUGUGUCAACCAUGUUAUACUCACCACAAUUUGAAUAUAUGACUUUUAUAUUUUUCACAAUACGGAUAAUAUAAUAUUUUAGCCAUUAGAUCGAUGGGUUCACUAUGUUCUCUCUUCGCUUAUACAUCCAUCAUAGUCGUUCUUUCACGUUCAAUGAGAAUUCGCACUGUUGAUGAGUCUCUCGAGUGAAGAAACACUUACAUAAAACAGUGAUAGCACUAUUUUGCUAUCCCUAACCAAUCAGUAUGCCACGCGUGAUAACUUUUUCACAUAACAAACUGUGAUUGACCGGAAAUAACAAAAUAAUGUAAUCUCCGUUUCAUUCAAGUUUUUCUAUCUCUAGUGACAUCCUUCUAUUAGAUCCACUCACAUAUAGCUAGGGACGGAGCCAUAUUUCAAUCCGAAAUGGCCGUGCCAGCUCUUGGUCGUUUCAACUGUAAAUACAAUUCCUACUCAAUAAAUGAAAGCUAGUUCCGCCACUACCAUUACCUAUUUCAUAAAAAUCAGGAUAGAAAUCAUAGAAAGUAAUACUAUAGCGUGCCCCAAAUAACUUGUGACGUCCAAUCUCAUGGCUGGUAGUCAAAGACCUCAUAAAAUCCGAAAGACGAGAAGAACCCACUGACAUAGAAUCAAAAGCUUCUGCCAUUACAUUAACUUCCACUUUUUCUCAUGGCCGGCGCAUUUGAUCCUCAAAGGCUCAAAGCUAUGGCUGAAAUUAAAUAGGCCAGAACUUUGUGAGGAAGCGUGGUAGAGUUUUGCUGAGAUAGGAGAGACGAAAUCAAAACAAUUGAAGAAUCAAAUUCCCACAACUCACAAGGCGUUUUUGGAAUUUUCCCAGAAAACAAACGGAAAACCAGAUUGCAAUUUUGCUCCCAGAUAUCCAGAAUGAUGCCCCCAUAUCCACCUAGAUUUGGCCAAACAGUGUGGCAAAGCUGACCCGUCACCUUUGGCCUAUCAUGCCACUUUUGGAACAUACGGCGGAUAAUGAACUGAGAAAUCAAUUGCGUUGGUACUACUACUGCCUAACCCAUGACCCUAUGCCUACGUCAAUUAUAUUAAUAAAUAUAUAAUUGGAUUUGCUUAUAUAUAUUAUAAAUAAAUACUUCGGAUUUUUCCGCCAUGCAUUAAGUGUUUUUCAUGAAUUAUCAUAUGUUGGAAAAGAAAAGUUGUUGUAUGACAGAAAUUUUCAUCCCUGAAAUCAUCUAUUAAUAUGUGGAGUGUCCAACACAACACCCUUUCGGGUGGUGAGAUUUUGUAAAAAGAAUUGAAUGUGAUUGAAGACGAGUCAUAUUCAAAGCGAAAUAAUUAUAGUAUAAUUUAUAGGUGAAUUUCGCAUUAUAAGAUGUUUAUGUUAUCAGAUAGUUGUUACGAGUGAAUUUGAACCACUAAUUUUAGUUAUAAAUAUAGACCAUUGGAUCCCAACUAUAAAAUAUUUAUGUUAUCAGAUAAUUAUUAUUAUUUUUUAAAUAAGAGCGGCAAUAUUUUAUUGAUGAUAGGAAAAUAACAGGUACAAAAUAAAUAAGUUAUAGCUUAGAGGAUUAGGCGAGCCUCUUUACACAUACGGGCUUGACUGUCGGACUAACUAAGUAUCCUUAUCCUCUCAACAAUAAGCAAACCACAAGUAGGAAAAAGGAGCCGUACCACUGAUAGAGCGCCAUCUGGCCCUCCUAAGUUUAUACUCGUAAAAACCCUAUUUGUUACAAUCCUCAAACAAAAUAUUUGUAAGAAAAUCUGGUAGCUCUUCAAACCAUAUAAAAACAAUACCAAUAUUCCUAGAAAAAGAUGUAAGUCUAUCAACCACUCCAUUUGUAGUACGGCAGAUGUGUAAAAACUUCCCAAAUGAUCUGUGUUACCAUAUAUAUAUAAUUGUUACGAGUGAAUAAUUUGACCACUGAUUUUAGCUAUAAAUAUGUACCAUUGGAUUCCUUUGACACUCCUAUUAUAGUUGGGUUGGAGGAGGAUUGUAGCCCAAGGUUGAGGUUUAAGGCCAAUGACUUUGGCCUGGUUCAACAACAUUGAAAAUCCUAAUUUAAUGUGGAAAGACAUCAACAAAAUCAAUCACACUCAAACCUAAUUUUGUGGUGUUGGCUUGUAUUAUCACCACCAUUGUCAACUUUUGUCAAUAAUGCAAAUAAUAAAAAGGCAAUUGCUACAUGUGGUUGUCACAUUAAUUCCAAUGGCUUAUUAAUAAGCUGUCCCUAACCUUUAAUUCCGACAAUGUAACUGUAAACCAAUUUUCGUUUAUUUAGUUUGUGGUUUCAAUUAAGCAGAUGGUCACUUGGCAAUUGGCAUGGUCCAAAAAUGUAUGUAUAAUUUUCAGACAUUGCUUGAUUUUUUUAGGGUCUUGUCUCAAUCUCAUUUAUCUGAUGCCACUAUUUCUUGCCCAUUGACAUGAACUACUCUAUGCAAGUUGGGUUUAUUGGUUGAAAAUCUCAACUAUCGAUUGGUAGUGUCCUCCAGUUUUUGUGGGGCAAAGCCAAAUCCACAGAAAUAAAUAUAUAGGUACUCUUGAAUUAAUGCUCUCCUUGAAGAUUAUGACAUGCGUAAUAUGUUUAAUAUAUUCUUAGUUUAAUUUAAGAAAAGACGAAUUUCUAAGUGUCCUGAUCAAUUGGGAACCUGACUUUGAAAACCAAAACAAAAAAAAUCUGAAUUUUUUUUACUACAAACAAUAAUCUAAGCUAUAGGGAAUGAGUUAACUAUAAUUGUUGUGAUGCUGCGGCUACAUUUAGAUGAGGGCCGUAUAAAUAAGAAUAGUAUGACAUGAAUUAGCAUAUCUUUAGAAUGAAAAUAUGUAAUGUAGAGAAAGUGCAAAUAGCAGAAACGGUGGUACAUUCCUCCGGCGGCUCAUGAAACCUACAACCAACAAAGCCAUCACAAAACAAAGUUUUAGCAACAUAUAUUAUGACUACUUUCGUAGCAACUGAGCUAUAUUUUGAAUCUAAAUUGAGUCAUGAUUGUGUACGAAUGCCAUAUGAUUUCACAAUUGCACUGAUUUAAGAUAUUGGGGGAAAUUAAUAUAUUGAAGGAGCUUUAGUUAAACCCUAUUUAUACAUUAUGGCAGGCCAGUAGGCCCACCGUCUCUGAUUCGUAAGCGUUAUUUUGAUUUAUACUAGCAUCAGGGACGGACCUGCAGAGUGUACAAAUUGGGCUAUAGCCCAAUCAAGUGUUUUUCUUUUGUUAUUGUUAGUGUAAAAGACAUAUACUAAAUAAGCUGCAAUAUGAGUUGUGCGUUGUCGACCAAUGUUAAUUUUAAGCAUAUAUAAUCAAUUGUUGUUGACAUUGUUGAUAUAAAAUUGGACUCUUUAAAUAAAUAAAAUACCUAAAAUCUAGCUCACCCCAUUUUGAAAUCCUAAGUCCGUCCCUAACUAGCAUAAAUUGUUCCAAGCAUAUUUUGAUUCUACUCGUCACUUUGUGUAUAGAAAUUGGGCAUCCCUUGUUAAUUCUUUGACAGAAAAGAAUGUUGUAAAGCAGGAUUAAUAUCACGCCUGUAAGUAACUAUGGUAUCAUAACAUCAUAUUUGAUUUCCAAUUUUAUCUACCGUCCACACAUCAGUUGCCACAUAAGGUGGUCAGUUAAGGUGGUCAAUAUUGUGUGUCUAAAUAGCAUUACUCAAAUGUUAUUUAUGUUUCUGAAAAUAUAUUAUUUAUGUAUCAGGCUUGUCUUUCUUACGUAUGGAAACUAACUGGUUGAGAUGUAAUCAUGAUUUAGGAUACGGAAAAUGAGUUGCAGAAGAAUUUAUAAUUUAUAAUUUAGAGAUGAAAUUCCUGACUUACUAGAGUUAAUUUAUGUUUGAAGGUUGUGCGUCAUGUAUUGAUUGGUCCAUGAAUAAUAUAUAUUUGGAUAUGUGUAGAGUUAUAUGUGUUUGCAUAUGUGCAAAUUUUGGCAGGCCUGAGUCUGCCCAACCCAAAAGUCAAAUCAAUAUCCUUACCCAACCCAAAAUUCAGAUCAAGAUACUUGCCCAGCCCAGAGGAACAAACCAAACCCAGAAAACAAACACAUGAAAAGCCCUAAACAAGAAAGCCCGACCAGAAGAAAAGAGUACCCAGGGAUUUCUAGAUUGUCACUCUAUUGACUUUGAUAUUGGCUGAACUAGAAAUCUUGUGAUGGAAUGUUAACUUUAAGGGUUAGUUAAGGCCAUAAUUUACACAAUUGAUUGACUCAUUCAAUAAAAAAAAUCACACACAAAACUUAGGAAGUUUAGGAGUGUAUACUAUUUGUAGUUUACUCUGUGUGUUUAGCAAGUGUCAGAAUUAUGUUAUGAACUUGACAAACUAAGUUUGAUUGGCAUUGCAAUACUACAUAUAUAUAUAUAUAUAUAUUAUGUGCAAUAUUACAUAAAUAUUUGUAAACAAUGCCCAUUAUAUCUUCAUCAAUGAAAACGCCUCUUUUCUAUACUUAUUUGACCAAAAUUUUAGAAGGCACUAUAACUAAUAAGCUUUAAAAAUAAUCAAACCUAAUUACCAUCAGUAGUAGGUUGUCAACCAUUUGACUAUGAUUCAAUCAUUCCAUAAAUAAAUGCAUUUUGACAGGCAAGCAUCCUCCAGUAUCUUAAGAGCAUUUCUACUUAUUUGUCAUGGCAAAGGAUAAAGGGAUGCGAUGGUCGAUACUAUUUACGUGAAUAGUGAUAGCCCUCGCAAAAAGUAAGGUGUAUUUCCACUCAUUGCCAUGACAAAAGGCAAAUACUAUUCACUUUUCGUUUUUUUUUUUUGUACCUAAAUAAUUAAUUUGGAGAAGAUUUUCGGUUCCCACGUGUCAAUAUUUAUUUUAAAAUUCAUAUAUCAUAAUUCGAAUGAAGUUUUCAGAUAAGAUUUUCGAAUAAGAUUCAAAUUUCAAAUUUCAGAUAAGAUUUUCAUCCUCUAAAAAUGGCGUCACGUGUCAUCUCAAUCUUCUAAAUCUAUCUAUAAAACCAGAGGUUCAGCUCAUACCUCUCACACCAGAUCUUCUCUAUCUUUUCAUUUCUCAGUUUUUAGAUUUCAUACUCCACUCUCAAUAUCAGACAUGAGGAGAGGCAAGAACAAGAAAUUAAAGAAAGAAGGCGUAGACGAGCUGAAAAAAAAAAAGGGUGCAGCAAGAAGAAGAUGAACAAGUUGCCAUAACUGUGGGUUUGCUCAAUCUAGAAAGCCAAAACCGCCGUCGUGGUUCACAAGUCGGCUUUGGCCCUAACGUGGACAGACAUAGGCAUUCUCGGGGUAAGAAUCUUUUGGAAGAUUACUUUAUCCCAAAUUUUGUGUACUCUAAUGUUAAUUUUCGAGGACGAUAUAGAAUGCAACCCCAUUUGUUCAAUAAAGUCAUGCAUGAUGUUUGUAAUUACGAUGCAUACUUUGUUUAGAGGUGUAAUGCUGCUGGAGUAUUGGGGCUUCUUCUGGAGCAAAAGCUUAUAGCUGUUAUAUAAAUUCUAGCAUAUGAUUCAUCUACUGAUCAGAUGAAUGAGAUUGCUAUAAUGGGAAAGUCCACUAUUCUAGAGAACUUGGCCAAAUUUUGUGAUGCAUGCCAAAUCAGCCUGAUCUAAUUUCAAAAAAGUGGAAUUUGUAAGUGUCCUCAAUUCAGAAUCCCACUUUGAGUUUUAAAUAAUAAAAAAUCUGCAAUGUUAAAUUAACUAUAAUUGUUGUUGGUAUUCUAAUGGUACCAACUUCAAAUAUCUCCUCUAAAUAAGUAAAUUAAUAUCAACAUCGCAUUUAAUUACUUUCUUGUGGUGUUGCGGUUACAAUUAUAUGAGGGUAAUAUAAAUAAGAAUAGUAUGACAUGAAUUAUCACAUCUUUAGAAUGAAAAUAUGCAGUUUAUGGAAGAAAAAAAAAAAGCCCAACCUUAUAGAAGAAAAAUGAAACAUGCAAUCACUAUCCAUCCAUUAGCACAUAAAAAGUGUAGAGAAAGGUACUUUUAAGGUUCAAAUAGCAGAAACGGUAGUGGUACAUUCCAUCAUUAACAUCUGAAUAAACUCUGUGGCCCAUCAUUCAUACCAAAUAUGAACAAUCCCAUUUGCCCAGUUGCAUCUCUACUAUGAACAAAGCCAUCGGCACAGACUUUUAUCGACGGAUCUUUUUAGCAACUGAGCUAUCUAGAGUAUCCAUUGCCAUUGGUAUCAACUGAAAAAACAAAUACUUUGGAUCUAAAUAAUUAAGUUAUGAUACACUACGAAUGGCACCUUAAUUGCACAAUUGAAUGGAUUGAAGAUAUUGGCGAAAACUAAUAUAUUAAAGGGGAUCCAAUUAAACUCAAUUUACAGCCAAAGUAGACAUUAAGGGUAGCUUAGUGCGGUGUAAGACACUGAUCCGUGAUUCAUCUAUACAAAAAAUUUAGCGAUCCAGCAACAUGCAUCAUGCUCAAGCGAUCCAGGAGCAUGUAUUGGUCCAAAUGGACCAUUAAACUACAAAGCCCAUACCUCCUUGACAUGAUCUCAUAUCUAAAGAUGGGUUAUAGGGAAGAAACAGCAGAAGCAAACAAGUAGACAACCAAGAAAAUUCUAGGGAAAUAGGAGGAUUUUAGGGGGAGGGGGCUAAUCAGAUGUGGAGGAGAUCUGGGCAUACACCUGGAAAAUGAUGAGAAGAAGGGCAAACCAAAACAAACAGAAAAAAGAGAAAGAAAAGCCACACCAAAGGGUGGCAGAGAAGCCACACAAGAGGUGGCGGAGGUGCCCCCGAAGGGAGGAGGCACAGCCACCAGCUGCUCAAAAAAAGACGGUGGGGAAGAAGAGAAGUUCUAGAAAGAAAGGGGAGCCCCUCUCUCUAAAGCUCUCUCGGAUUAACUUCAUCUAUUGAUGGAUGAUAACUCUUCUUCUUGCUCAUCUGAUUAGCCAACUCACGUAUCUUGUUUGGCCUCCAAUUCUCAUGUUUUGGUUCUUUAGGAGUUCUUCAAAAUACUGGAAGGAAAAUUGCGAUUGUGGCUACUGCGUGUAUUUUGAAAUUCAGUUGUUUUCAAAUACGCAAAUAAAGAUAAACACAUGUAAAUAGGAGUCUGUUAUCAUCUAUACAACUGUGUAAUCUAUAAAUAUUUGUAAUCUGUAAAUGUUUAUAAAUACAGACUCUCCGUCAAAGUCAAAGUGAUGGAUCAUUCAGCCAAACCUACUUUCCUGUGUGAAUUAAAGUUUUUACAAAUUUAUAAUUAGUUGUUGCGCUUAUACGAGUUUAGGCUGUAGGAGACUAUCAAAUACAAUUCUAUUGGACUCAUUGUUCUAGAGUCGUAAACCCAAUUGAAUAUAUUUUAUAAAAAGAAAAAGUCACAUCUGAUUUCAUAAGUGUACCCACUACGGCUGGGCUUGGUUUGGUAACCGAACCGAAUGGCCUUUACUGAGUACUGACUGAUGGCGGUCGGAAGGUACCAAAUGGGAAUCGCCGCCGACGGACAGCUAUUCUGUAGAACACCAACAGCAGGAAGAAGAAUAUCAUAUAUAAAUCUUGGCAGGCCUUGGUCUGGCCAACCCAAAAGUCAUAUCAAUAUACUUAGGAGAGAAUGUGUGUACUUGGUUAUUUUAUUUGUUAAAGGAUACUACUUGCUCAUUUCUUAUAUAACAAAACUCCAAAUGCAUGAAUUAGCAACUGGCAUUUUGCGGAAGACCUAAAAAAGAUCAAAUCUAUGCCAAGGGAAACACUAAUAGAGAAGAAAAAUGCGUUGCGUCAUGGAGAAGGGCAUAAAGUUUACUGUGUAUAGCAAAUGUCAGAAUUAUGAACUUGGCAACCUAAGUUUGAUUGGCAUUGCAAUAUUACAUAAACAUUUGUAUAGAUCCCUAAAAUAAAGCAAUGUAAAGUGUUAAGGGUCAGCUUAAAUCUGCAUUGAACCCUCCGAAUCGCCGUUCCGUUCGAAUUAAUCUUCCCCUUCUUCCCUCUCUCUAGGGACAGCUCCAAAGUGCUUUACCAAAAUGUCAACAACCAAAGGCACCAAGUCCUUGCAAGGGACACUCUUUUUAUAAACAUCUCCCAAAUGUGAGUCACUUCCUAUCCUCCCUCCCAAGAAAACAUCAGCCCCUUCACAAGGCUUCCCAUUCUCAUCCCUUGCCAUGCAUCCCAUGAAACCAAUAUCCGCCACUUGCACCUGCGCGCAGGUGUUUGGGCACCCGGUCCAAUGCAUCCUCACCGGUCGGGUCACUGCCACGUGUCUCUCCACCUCCUCUGUCACCUUCAAGGCCCUGGCCUUGGUCUCAAUGAUGGCUUGUCCACAGAACUGGUUGCCAGUGCAGGCCACCAAUCCUCUCAUGAGAAUUGAAGGUUCAGGUGAAAAUCUGUUUUUCAGAAGAGGCUCUUUAAGCAAUGCUUCAAGUUUUGAGUUCUCAACAUUUGGGAUUAUUAUGUUUUGCUCCACAGUGAGCCGGAGUUCCCCUGUGCCAUACUUGUCAGCUACGUGAGCUAGCUCAUCCAUGUCAUCUGCUUGGAGCCGGCCGACUGGAAUGUGAAGUCCCACGUAGCUUAGACCUUCUUGUUUUUGUGGAUGGACACCUACGUAGUCUCUCCUUUCCCAUUGCUUCUGAACCAGGUCUUCAGAAGAUGCUCUCUCCAGCUCUUGAAAAGGCAUCCUUUUUGCAACCUCUGCCCUGAAUCCUUCUAUGCCCUGCAUUCAUAUAAUUUUCAACAAAAUGUCAGGCAAAUACCAUCAAGAAGUUAACAAUUCAAUGCUCAUUCAAAUAAUGUAGAACAUGUUUUAAAUGGUGGUGAAAUUUUUUAGAAGCAUUUCUCCUUAAGAAGAUUGAAACAUGACAUAAUAAAUUCAGUAAUAACUUUGAAGAUCACACAUAUUACGGCAUAUUGAAACUAGAUCUAUAUAGUUGGGACAAUGGUUACUUACUAGUUCAUCAAUCAACCACAUCAUUCUCGUCUUCUGUCGGUUCCCUCUGGUGCCAAGGUCUCUAUAGGCCUCUAGCACUGCUUUGCAAAGUGGGAUCACAUCAUCUGCGGAGACCCAGGCAUCAAGAGGAACUGCCUCUGCACACCGUUUAGGACUAAAGAAGCCUCCCACAAGCAAAUUGAAUCCAAAUCUUCCGUCCUUUGUUGCAGGCAUGUAAGCGAGAUCGUUGAUGUGGGGAUGCUCAAAAAGAUCAUGAGAUCCCACCACACACACAUUCCACUUUCUUGGCCUGCUCAGAUGAAAACUAAACUUAAGAAUCCAAGCAACUCAUUCCAUUCAUGCUUUGACCCAAAAAAAAUUCCAUUCAUGCUUAAUUUUAGUAAAGUAUUUCUCCUAUCUGAACUAACCAAAUAAUGAAACAGUGCUCCAUGUUCAGCCGCUUAAACCAUGACUUUAUGAAAUUAAACCCCUAAUUAUGUACAAAUAACAGAAAAGUACAUUCAACAUAUGGGGAAGGGAGCUAAAACACUUACAAGUUUGUGACAGUAGGAUUGCCAAGUGAAUUGGCAGUGAUAUAUUGGGACAGCAAGUUUGUGUAAGGUCGUGUAUCAACAAUCUCUUCGGGGUCGAUUCCGGCGAGAGGAUUUCCAACUGGGUUUCUCACAUUGUCCAUGCCACUCUGCAGACUUGUCAAGCCAACCUUAGCGAGACCUUUUAGAAUUUCUGGCACAUCAGGCAGUACCACUCCCCGGAUUUGCCAAUUUUGCCUGGUUGUAACAUCCGCACAACCAUCCUCACCAUAUUUUCUUAUCACGCUCGCUAGAUAUUUUGUUUGUGCACUUGUUGUAACUCCAUUUGGUAGCUUCAGUCUCAUCAUAAAUCUACCAUCUGAUCAUCAUCACCACCAGUAUUAAUUAACCAAUAAGAACAUACUGAAAAAGUAAGAUGCUUGUUGCAUUUAAGAUAAAAAUGCCAAUAUAGAAAGAAAAGUCAAACAAUCCAACAGGCUAUGCUGUCGGACUGUUAAUUCGGAAAAUUAGUUAAAUUCCUGUUCAAAUGUCUAAUCUUUAUUGAUAAUCUGAAAAGAUAAAAUGUCUAGAAUAUCUAACAAGAAAACAUUACCCUAUGUAAGAAUAUUCGAAAUAUGUGCAAAAUUUAACAAAGCAAACAAGUAUAGAUCAAAUUAACUCACAAUGAUUCUUUCUCCUGUGGAAAAGGCCAAGCCACUUGAGCCUGCCAUCAAUAUCAUCCUUACUAUCCUUAGACUUCUCAAGCUCCUCAAAAGAAGUCUUGGCAAGCUCUUCAAUCCCAUUUUCCAUGAAAAGCUUCAUGGGUUCCUUCUGAAUCUUCACCUUCUCCUGAACAUUAAUCCCUCCUCUAAACUUCUCUUUCAAAACCCAAUACCCAUCUCUCUCCUCCACUCUAGGCUCCAACCUGGCAGCCUCCACAUUCUUGGAAACCGGCGCCAGGGGGGUGGUGGCGGCUGCUAGCCUCGUCUGCUUGCAGCAGGGGAGAGCUGAAGACAGGGGAGGAGAAAGAAACUGAACAGAUAGUGAUGAUGACAUGGCUGGUCAGAGUAUGCUGCUGGUGCGGAUGAUUGCAAAGAGCUCCAAAUUUUGAUGGCGUUGUUGAAGUAGGAAUUGAAAGAGAGAAGAGGGCUUGCAUUUUUGUAGGUGAGCUUAGCGGUGAGGACCUUAGGAGGAGGGAGACGUUCAUUUUUGGUUGUGACGGAGGGGCUUUUGGCUUUUGGCUUUUGGCUGGAGCCAAGGGUCGUCGUAUUUUGUCUUGGAGAGGAAAUGGGGGGACUGGUGACGGUUAUAUUGUAUAUACCAUUGUAUAUCCCUUUCCUCCAAAGUUUUUAUUUGUUGUUUGCCUUUGUUUUUUCAUGCAUUUGGGUUACGGUGGCCCCUGUCCACCAUGUGCCACGUUUCGGAGAUGUGUUUUGUAGACAAGUUGUCCAACUUGAUUUUUUAUAUAUUUUUUCAAAAAAUAGAAAAUAAGACUACAAGCGAUAGUUAAACUAUAAGGGAUACAAUUCUCCAUCAUCCCGAUCUCUCUUUUAUUAGCCAAAAAAUAAAAAAAACUAUAAUAAUUAAAUUUCAUUUAUUUAUAAUCAGAUUGACAGAAUUGAAACAUUUGAUCUAAUUUGUUAACAUCUGCAAACAGAGUUACUAAAAUCGAAAAAAUAAAAUUUCGGUCAUCAAAAUUAAAUUUGAUCCCACUGUAGUGAUAAAAAAAUGUAAUUAUCCCUAUAUUUCAGCUCUUUUAACUCAGUUUUUCGCUGACCACAGACUUGAACUUGAUGUUCUGGUUUUUUACUAGACUGUUUUGUUUUUCACCUCGUUUAAGUUAUUGAACUGUCGGCCCAGCCCAUCAAAGACUCAGUCCCAAAAACCUACUCUCUCUCUCUCUCCCAAAAGCAUACUCUUGCUACUCUUUCUUCAACUGCUGUUGUUCAGAGCAGCGAAGCCAUGUCAACGAUCAAGGAGAUCCUUACCCGACGACCCGUGAUGGCGACGAUCCGGGUCACAGUCCCGGCCGGCGCGGCCAGACCCAGCCAGCAACUGAGCCCUGCUUUGGGUCAAUACAGGCUGAACAUGAUGGCCUUCUGCAAG
RNAcentral lists this long non-coding RNA (26269 nucleotides) under Prunus persica (peach). Its description in RNAcentral is "long non-coding RNA (PPER_LNC008375)". Lineage: Eukaryota; Viridiplantae; Streptophyta; Magnoliopsida; Rosales; Rosaceae. The record is from RNAcentral.